Molecule: ribosomal RNA, 254 nt
Filed under: uncultured bacterium
Lineage: Bacteria
Description: partial 16S ribosomal RNA
Rfam family: Bacterial small subunit ribosomal RNA
Source: RNAcentral
UACGGGGGGAGCAAGCGUUGUUCGGAUUUACUGGGCGUAAAGGGCGCGUAGGCGGUUAGCACAAGUCAGUUGUGAAAUCUCCGAGCUUAACUCGGAAAGGUCAACUGAUACUGUGCGACUAGAGUGCGGAAGGGGCAACUGGAAUUCUUGGUGUAGCGGUGAAAUGCGUAGAUAUCAAGAGGAACACCUGCGGCGAAGGCGGUUCUCUGGGACGGUACUGACGCUGAGACGCGAAAGCGUGGGGAGCGAACAGG